GUUUCUCGCUUCGGCAGCACAUAUACUGAAAUUGGAACAAUACAGAGAAGAUUAGCAUCGCCCCUGCACAAGGAUGACACACAAAUUCAGGGUGAUGUUCAAAAUACAU
Small nuclear RNA from Sorex fumeus (smoky shrew), 109 nucleotides. NCBI's taxonomy places the organism in Eukaryota, Metazoa, Chordata, Mammalia, Eulipotyphla, Soricidae. The record is from RefSeq and is a predicted model, not a curated record.